CCGCCGUGGAGCAUAAAUAACCCUAAUACCCUAACCGAGCUGGCGUCCUAUGCCACAGGGAGAUCGUGUGGAAUUUUUGCCGGCUGACGCUCAGACUGUCAGACUGUCCCUCUGCGAUCCUCGCAGCACAAAACGAAGAUAAAUAUUUAAUUUCCCCAUCUCCCAACCAGCUCUGUUAUUGGCGUGUCAUUCCUACAUAUCUUCAUCUCUUUUUUCGUGUAUGCAAUGGCAUUUCUCACUCUUUGUGCCCUGGAUUUCGGCAGUUAGCUGAACGGAAAGAUGGUCCUGGCCCGCACCCGCGACCAUCUUUCUUGGUAUAGAUAUAUGUUUAUAUAUAUUCUAUGCACAAUUUCCAUUGACGUAAAAGUUCAUUAUUUUCCUAAAAUUAUCCUCACUCACUCGAUCGGAUAUCUUUACCCUGGCACUGUCAGUUCGAAAGCAUAUUUCGUAUGAAAUUUAAUAUUUUUUUUCUCUGCUCCAGGUUUCCUGCCUGCUGCCAUUUUCUUUUUUCUUUUUUCUUUUUUCACUUUCAUUUUUUAAACAGUAUUAUUUUCUUGCAAUACACUCUGGAAUCUUGAGGAAACAAUAUCCACUUUCUUUCUUGUGUCCUUAGCUGUUGUAUUAUUUUCGGUGUUGGCUACUCUGUUCAAUGCUGGGUUCGAAAGACUGAGGCACAAGGAACCUAGGAAACACAGG
This 696-nucleotide small RNA is filed under the name Histoplasma ohiense. Its description in RNAcentral is "hypothetical lncRNA". Lineage: Eukaryota; Fungi; Ascomycota; Eurotiomycetes; Onygenales; Ajellomycetaceae. The record is from RNAcentral.